CUUUUGACCUCGGAUCAGGUAGGGAUACCCGCUGAACUUAAGCAUAUCA
Molecule: ribosomal RNA, 49 nt
Filed under: Stemphylium sp. MAFF 245608
Lineage: Eukaryota; Fungi; Ascomycota; Dothideomycetes; Pleosporales; Pleosporaceae
Also listed under: 1 other name
Description: partial 28S ribosomal RNA
Source: RNAcentral